Molecule: ribosomal RNA, 253 nt
Filed under: uncultured bacterium
Lineage: Bacteria
Description: partial 16S ribosomal RNA
Rfam family: Bacterial small subunit ribosomal RNA
Source: RNAcentral
GACAGAGGGUGCAAACGUUGUUCGGAAUUACUGGGCGUAAAGCGCGUGUAGGCUGCUUCGAAAGUCGGGUGUGAAAGCCCUGGGCUCAACCUAGGAAGUGCACUCGAAACUGUGAAGCUGGAGUUCUGGAGAGGAAGGCGGAAUUCUCGGUGUAGAGGUGAAAUUCGUAGAUAUCGAGAGGAACACCGGUGGCGAAGGCGGCCUUCUGGACAGUGACUGACGCUGAGACGCGAAAGCGUGGGGAGCAAACAGG